UUUUGUAUGAAAUUGAAAUCAUUUGGAAAAGAGUGAAACGACAUUUUUCUCGAUAAAACCCGAUAUCGCACGUAGAUUAGUGCCUCAAAUCACCGUAGAGCGAGUCGUUUACCGCCCGCUAGGAGGGGGUGGUUAUUCUCAAAAUCGGCGAGCGCAUACUGCCCGACAUGGCCUGCAUGUGAGAUCGCCACAAUGUCGUGUUUUAGUUUAUAGAGCAUAACAACAAAUUCCAGUCAGUCUGUCGUCGAAUCUGUACAUUCAGCUCGCAUGCUUUAUGGCAAAAGAGGGUUUAGUUUCUACAAAUAAUGUCUCCAGUUCACCUUUUUCUAUUAUAGAAUCUAACAGAAUCUAAUAGCAAAAAAACCCCACAUGCCCCGGCUUCCCUUUUUAUUUCUGUUUCUCGUGAACGAAGUGUUUUUGUCUGCCCCUAGCACUAUCUUUAUUAUAUCUCAUAUGCAUGUUUUCGUAUAUCUUGGCGAGUUUUAUUAAGCGUUUUGUUACCCAGAUGUAUAGGUUUUAAAUCAUCCUUAAAAUUUGACUGUUUUCACUUAAUUUGCGUCCUAGAGAAACAGUUGUUACAUGAUACAGACGUUGAGGAUUUUCCGCACUCCGAGUUCGUUACCAUUUUUUUGAAGUUACAAUGUUAGAUCAGUUUCGUUUGAAUUAGUGUAAAGAUGGAUCGACUUGAUUUUGUCGAUAUGAUGCACUGCCUACGAAGCAAAGAAAAUUGCACUCCUCAAGUUGUCGUUCACAAAAUCUCAAUUCCUGCAGCCAGGCACCGAUAACGCCUCUUUUGAAGUUAAUUUCACGCUGAAGAAAUCGACAUCGUUGGAUUAAAAAUUUAAUAACAUAACUAAAUUAAUUUCAACUCUAAUUACGCUACGUUAUCAUUGCGAUUAAAUGUAUAAUAAACAAAACGUUUCAAAAUGUUUGAAUUUAGAACUCUUUACGACGGGAGGUAGAAAUGUGAAUUAAAAGAUGAAACAGAUCAAUCUAUUUAUUAUCUUGUUUUAUAUAAAAGUCUAUGCUAAUUUUCAUGAUAAAAAUCAAAAUAGAGGAAUCUCAUUUAAGAAAACGUGUUAUAAAUGUGGCGAUAUACAAUCUAACAAAACCGAUUAAGAUGUUAUUUUGUUCUAUGACGGAAUAUUUGCCAUCCCCCGGAGAAGCGCUCGUCUAUCAAAGCCAUCGCGUGAAGACCUUUUUAUUGCUUAUCAGAAUCCCUACCCUGUUUCAAGAUAGCAUUAAGUGUAAUUAAGUAUACACAUGCCGCUUAUAAGCAGGCUCCGAUCGCCUUCUAUAAUAAAAUCAUUUCUCAUUAAACACGAACUGUGAUAAACAUUGUGUGUGUUGUAUGUCUUUGAAAUGUUCAGGUUAUUUUCAACUGGAAACCAAACUAAUGAUGCUUAAACAAAGGCACGUAUUUGUUUUCUAUGACAUUAAUUUCAUAUAGUUGUCUGAAUUUUAUUUACAAGUUAAAAUUAUC
Saccostrea cuccullata (small rock oyster) is the source of this 1483-nucleotide long non-coding RNA. RefSeq lists it as uncharacterized. The transcript is spliced from 3 exons. Lineage: Eukaryota; Metazoa; Mollusca; Bivalvia; Ostreida; Ostreidae. The record is from RefSeq and is a predicted model, not a curated record.